RNAcentral lists this ribosomal RNA (484 nucleotides) under uncultured bacterium. RNAcentral's name for it is "partial 16S ribosomal RNA". It matches the Rfam family "Bacterial small subunit ribosomal RNA", at positions 30 to 507 of the family's 1533-position model. The record is from RNAcentral.
AUUGAACGCUGGCGGCAGGCCUAACACAUGCAAGUCGAGCGGAUGAAGGGAGCUUGCUCCUGGAUUCAGCGGCGGACGGGUGAGUAAUGCCUAGGAAUCUGCCUGGUAGUGGGGGAUAACGUCCGGAAACGGGCGCUAAUACCGCAUACGUCCUGAGGGAGAAAGUGGGGGAUCUUCGGACCUCACGCUAUCAGAUGAGCCUAGGUCGGAUUAGCUAGUUGGUGGGGUAAAGGCUUACCAAGGCGACGAUCCGUAACUGGUCUGAGAGGAUGAUCAGUCACACUGGAACUGAGACACGGUCCAGACUCCUACGGGAGGCAGCAGUGGGGAAUAUUGGACAAUGGGCGAAAGCCUGAUCCAGCCAUGCCGCGUGUGUGAAGAAGGUCUUCGGAUUGUAAAGCACUUUAAGUUGGGAGGAAGGGCAGUAAGUUAAUACCUUGCUGUUUUGACGUUACCAACAGAAUAAGCACCGGCUGACUUCGUG